AUACCGCGUGUGUGAAGAAGGCCUUCGGGUUGUAAAGCACUUUAAGCAGGGAGAAAAAGUUAUAAGUUAAUACCUUAUAACCCUGAUGUUACCUGCAGAAUAAGCACCGGCUAAUUCCGUGCCAGCAGCCGCGGUAAUACGGAAGGUGCAAGCGUUAAUCGGAAUUACUGGGCGUAAAGCGCGCGUAGGUGGUUUGUUAAGUUGGAUGUGAAAGCCCUGGGCUCAACCUAGGAACUGCAUCCAAAACUAACUCACUAGAGUACGAUAGAGGGAGGUAGAAUUCAUAGUGUAGCGGUGGAAUGCGUAGAUAUUAUGAAGAAUACCAGUGGCGAAGGCGGCCUCCUGGAUCUGUACUGACACUGAGGUGCGAAAGCGUGGGUAGCGAACAGGAUUAGAUACCCUGGUAGUCCACGCCGUAAACGAUGACAACUAGCUGUUGGGAGACAAUGUCUUUCAGUGGCGCAGCUAACGUUUUAAGUUGUCCGCCUGGGGAGUACGGCCGCAAGGCUAAAACUCAAAUGAAUUGACGGGGACCCGCACAAGCGGUGGAGCAUGUGGUUUAAUUCGAUGCAACGCGAAAAACCUUACCUACUCUUGACAUACUUGGGAGCUCUUGUAAUGAGAGUGUGCCUUUUGGAACCAAGAUACAGGUGCUGCAUGGCUGUCGUCAGCUCGUGUCGUGAGAUGUUCCGUUAAGUCC
RNAcentral lists this ribosomal RNA (700 nucleotides) under uncultured SAR86 cluster bacterium. Its description in RNAcentral is "bacterial SSU rRNA". It matches the Rfam family "Bacterial small subunit ribosomal RNA", at positions 394 to 1087 of the family's 1533-position model. Lineage: Bacteria; Pseudomonadati; Pseudomonadota; Gammaproteobacteria. The record is from RNAcentral.